CCUACGGGUGGCAGCAGUGAGGAAUAUUGGUCAAUGGGCGGAAGCCUGAACCAGCCAAGUAGCGUGCGGGAUGAAGGCCCUACGGGUCGUAAACCGCUUUUGCACGGGGAUAACACCCUCCACUUGUGGAGGUCUGCAGGUACCGUGCGAAUAAGGGCCGGCUAAUUCCGUGCCAGCAGCCGCGGUAAUACGGAAGGCCCGAGCGUUAUCCGGAUUCAUUGGGCUUAAAGGGAGCGUAGGCGGGCGUUCAAGUCAGCGGUAAAAUUUCGGGGCUCAACCCCGACAAGCCGUUGAAACUGGCUUGCUAGAGUGGGCGAGAAGUAUGCGGAAUGCGUGGUGUAGCGGUGAAAUGCAUAGAUAUCACGCAGAACUCCGAUUGCGAAGGCAGCAUACCGGCGCCCAACUGACGCUCAGGCACGAAAGCGUGGGUAUCGAACAGGAUUAGAUACCCCAGUAGUC
Molecule: ribosomal RNA, 459 nt
Filed under: uncultured bacterium
Lineage: Bacteria
Description: partial 16S ribosomal RNA
Rfam family: Bacterial small subunit ribosomal RNA
Source: RNAcentral